AGUUAAUGURGCAAAACCUGGUGUUGCAAAAGACCUAAACCCUUUUCAUAGAGGUUCAAAUCCUCUCAUUAACU
This 74-nucleotide transfer RNA is filed under the name Isthmohyla pseudopuma (Gunter's Costa Rican treefrog). Its description in RNAcentral is "tRNA-Leu". It matches the Rfam family "tRNA". From Rfam's summary of the family: Transfer RNA (tRNA) molecules are approximately 80 nucleotides in length. Their secondary structure includes four short double-helical elements and three loops (D, anti-codon, and T loops). Further hydrogen bonds mediate the characteristic L-shaped molecular structure. tRNAs have two regions of fundamental functional importance: the anti-codon, which is responsible for specific mRNA codon recognition, and the 3' end, to which the tRNAs corresponding amino acid is attached (by aminoacyl-tRNA synthetases). tRNAs cope with the degeneracy of the genetic code in two manners: having more than one tRNA (with a specific anti-codon) for a particular amino acid; and 'wobble' base-pairing, i.e. permitting non-standard base-pairing at the 3rd anti-codon position. Lineage: Eukaryota; Metazoa; Chordata; Amphibia; Anura; Hylidae. The record is from RNAcentral.